This 303-nucleotide ribosomal RNA is filed under the name uncultured bacterium. RNAcentral describes it as "partial 16S ribosomal RNA". It matches the Rfam family "Bacterial small subunit ribosomal RNA", at positions 507 to 807 of the family's 1533-position model. The record is from RNAcentral.
AGCAGUCGCCGCGGUAAUACGAAGGGGGCUAGCGUUGUUCGGAUUUACUGGGCGUAAAGCGCACGUAGGCGGAUCGAUCAGUCAGGGGUGAAAUCCCAGAGCUCAACUCUGGAACUGCCUUUGAUACUGUCGAUCUGGAGUAUGGAAGAGGUGAGUGGAAUUCCGAGUGUAGAGGUGAAAUUCGUAGAUAUUCGGAGGAACACCAGUGGCGAAGGCGGCUCACUGGUCCAUUACUGACGCUGAGGUGCGAAAGCGUGGGGAGCAAACAGGAUUAGAUACCCCAGUAGUCCCUGUCUCUUAUAC